Molecule: transfer RNA, 81 nt
Filed under: Bacillota bacterium
Lineage: Bacteria; Bacillati; Bacillota
Description: Firmicutes bacterium (hot springs metagenome) tRNA-Leu
Rfam family: tRNA
About the family: Transfer RNA (tRNA) molecules are approximately 80 nucleotides in length. Their secondary structure includes four short double-helical elements and three loops (D, anti-codon, and T loops). Further hydrogen bonds mediate the characteristic L-shaped molecular structure. tRNAs have two regions of fundamental functional importance: the anti-codon, which is responsible for specific mRNA codon recognition, and the 3' end, to which the tRNAs corresponding amino acid is attached (by aminoacyl-tRNA synthetases). tRNAs cope with the degeneracy of the genetic code in two manners: having more than one tRNA (with a specific anti-codon) for a particular amino acid; and 'wobble' base-pairing, i.e. permitting non-standard base-pairing at the 3rd anti-codon position.
Source: RNAcentral
CCGAGGUGGUGGAAUUGGCAGACACGCUACCUUGAGGGGGUAGUGCCCGCAAGGGCGUGCGGGUUCAAGUCCCGCUCUCGG